CCUACGGUGCAGCAGUGGGGAAUAUUGGACAAUGGGCGAAAGCCUGAUCCAGCCAUGCCGCGUGUGUGAAGAAGGCCUUCGGGUUGUAAAGCACUUUCAGUGGGGAAGAAAGCCUUGGGGCUAAUACCCUCGAGGAAGGACAUCACCCACAGAAGAAGCACCGGCUAACUCCGUGCCAGCAGCCGCGGUAAUACGGAGGGUGCGAGCGUUAAUCGGAAUUACUGGGCGUAAAGCGCGCGUAGGCGGUCUGAUAAGCCGGUUGUGAAAGCCCCGGGCUCAACCUGGGAACGGCAUCCGGAACUGUCAGGCUAGAGUGCAGGAGAGGAAGGUAGAAUUCCCGGUGUAGCGGUGAAAUGCGUAGAGAUCGGGAGGAAUACCAGUGGCGAAGGCGGCCUUCUGGACUGACACUGACGCUGAGGUGCGAAAGCGUGGGUAGCAAACAGGAUUAGAUACCCCAGUAGUC
Molecule: ribosomal RNA, 463 nt
Filed under: Vreelandella stevensii
Lineage: Bacteria; Pseudomonadati; Pseudomonadota; Gammaproteobacteria; Oceanospirillales; Halomonadaceae
Description: partial 16S ribosomal RNA
Rfam family: Bacterial small subunit ribosomal RNA
Source: RNAcentral